Xenia sp. Carnegie-2017 is the source of this 1277-nucleotide long non-coding RNA. RefSeq lists it as uncharacterized. The transcript has 2 exons. Lineage: Eukaryota; Metazoa; Cnidaria; Anthozoa; Malacalcyonacea; Xeniidae. The record is from RefSeq and is a predicted model, not a curated record.
GGCAAAAUAUUGAGGUCACUGCUUCUUAUGAUAGAUAUAUUGACCUCAAAAUUUUUAGAUAUUGACAUACAAUUAAUAUACCUCUAAUAUUAAAAGCCUAGAACUUAAGAACCUGCUAAGCAAAGCCAAUAAUUUUGGACUCCCUAUUUGUUAAAACCUUUUCACGCUAUGACUUUAAACAGGUCCUUUUGUUUGAGGUUUUUACGUAGAUGUGAAUACAUAAUGAAUUUAAGAAAGUGUAUCAUUUCUCCAAAGACAGUGAGUGUAUCUUCUAUUGAUUAUUAUAACACAUAAAUCACUUUAAAAACUUUUAUACGUGUCGCUGGUUCGCUUUCCUGCCGUUUACAGUGAAGAGAAAAUUAGGGCGGAAGAAGAGAGAGACUACGAAUCGGCAGUUAAAUGCCUGUUCCAGUCACGUGGAUUUCCCUGGAAAAAAAUUAAGCAAACAAAAAUGGGAGCAGCAAUGCUAUGGAACUUGAAUGCGCAAAACAGUCAUCUAAAUUCUUCGAAUGACAAGAUCUGAGGAUUGACAAUGUUAUCAGUGACCGAGGUAAAGGGAUAACCAAGCGGAUGAAUACCAAGUAAAAAGAAAAUACACAUUUCAAUGAUACUUUGCACUUGAAAAAAAGCAGUAACAAGAAACUGAGGAAGGCAAGCAAAGAGAAACGAUGUGAAAGAAUUAAUGAUGGGCUUAAAGGAAUUUGUAUACAUUUGUAUUGGAGUGCACAAACAACAAUGCCUGGAUUUGAGGCCUUGUUACUGGAAAAUGAAAGCUUACUUUUAGACAUAUGGCAGGCAAACAUGAAAAUCAUCCAGAUCGUUUGUUUACAUCUUUUGCCCUUGAUGAGAUCGAGGAACAAAAUGGAGUCCAAUGAUUUUCAUGUGUUUACAAUGUUUCCCUGUCGUCAUAAUUUUUUUUGUUAAAGAUAUAAUUAAAUUAAGAAAAUAAAAGUAAAUAAUAAAUUGAUAUGCUCUAAGAAAAACACUUUAGAUAAAUUAUUUCUUCUCUUUACUUCAAUGAGAAAUUCCAUCGCACAUCAAAAAAUAAAGCAUGUCACCACUUCCUACAAUAUAUAAUUUCCAAAAUACAAAACUUGGUGAAGAAGUUUUUCGUAAAGUAACAUUUCAAUCAACUUAUCUAAAUGUUUGUUCUUAUUGCCUUUUUGUAUUUAAUGUUUCCGUGUUUUUUAUUAAGCUUUUUUACAUAACACAAAACUAUUGUUUUAGUAAUUGUUGAUUUUUAAUAACAAGUUCAAGUUUACAUGUUUGUAAAUGUA